CCGCGGUAAUACAGAGGGUGCGAGCGUUAAUCGGAAUUACUGGGCGUAAAGCGCACGUAGGCGGCUUGGCAUGUCGGGUGUGAAAUCCCCGGGCUCAACCUGGGAACUGCAUCCGAAACUGCCUUGCUAGAGUAUGGGAGAGGGAAGUGGAAUUUCCGGUGUAGCGGUGAAAUGCGUAGAUAUCGGAAGGAACAUCAGUGGCGAAGGCGACUUCCUGGACCAAUACUGACGCUCAGGUGCGAAAGCGUGG
Molecule: ribosomal RNA, 250 nt
Filed under: uncultured bacterium
Lineage: Bacteria
Description: partial 16S ribosomal RNA
Rfam family: Bacterial small subunit ribosomal RNA
Source: RNAcentral